RNAcentral lists this ribosomal RNA (685 nucleotides) under uncultured Vibrionaceae bacterium. RNAcentral describes it as "bacterial SSU rRNA". It matches the Rfam family "Bacterial small subunit ribosomal RNA", at positions 1 to 671 of the family's 1533-position model. The record is from RNAcentral. Lineage: Bacteria; Pseudomonadati; Pseudomonadota; Gammaproteobacteria; Vibrionales; Vibrionaceae.
UAGAGUUUGAUCAUGGCUCAGAUUGAACGCUGGCGGCAGGCCUAACACAUGCAAGUCGAGCGGAAACGACACUAACAAUCCUUCGGGUGCGUUAAUGGGCGUCGAGCGGCGGACGGGUGAGUAAUGCCUAGGAAAUUGCCUUGAUGUGGGGGAUAACCAUUGGAAACGAUGGCUAAUACCGCAUAAUGCCUACGGGCCAAAGAGGGGGACCUUCGGGCCUCUCGCGUCAAGAUAUGCCUAGGUGGGAUUAGCUAGUUGGUGAGGUAAUGGCUCACCAAGGCGACGAUCCCUAGCUGGUCUGAGAGGAUGAUCAGCCACACUGGAACUGAGACACGGUCCAGACUCCUACGGGAGGCAGCAGUGGGGAAUAUUGCACAAUGGGCGAAAGCCUGAUGCAGCCAUGCCGCGUGUAUGAAGAAGGCCUUCGGGUUGUAAAGUACUUUCAGUUGUGAGGAAGGGGGUAGCGUUAAUAGCGCUGUCUCUUGACGUUAGCAACAGAAGAAGCACCGGCUAACUCCGUGCCAGCAGCCGCGGUAAUACGGAGGGUGCGAGCGUUAAUCGGAACUACUGGGCGUAAAGCGCGUGCAGGUGGUUCAUUAAGUCAGAUGUGAAAGCCCGGGGCUCAACCUCGGAACUGCAUUUGAAACUGGUGAACUAGAGUACUGUAGAGGGGGGUAGAAUUUCA